GAUGAACGCUGGCGGCGUGCCUAAUACAUGCAAGUCGAGCGAACGGACGAGGAGCUUGCUCUUCUGAUGUUAGCGGCGGACGGGUGAGUAACACGUGGAUAACCUACCUAUAAGACUGGGAUAACUUCGGGAAACCGGAGCUAAUACCGGAUAAUAUUUUGAACCGCAUGGUUCAAUAGUGAAAGACGGUCUUGCUGUCACUUAUAGAUGGAUCCGCGCUGCAUUAGCUAGUUGGUAAGGUAACGGCUUACCAAGGCAACGAUGCAUAGCCGACCUGAGAGGGUGAUCGGCCACACUGGAACUGAGACACGGUCCAGACUCCUACGGGAGGCAGCAGUAGGGAAUCUUCCGCAAUGGGCGAAAGCUUGACGGAGCAACGCCGCGUGAGUGAUGAAGGUCUUCGGAUCGUAAAACUCUGUUAUUAGGGAAGAACAUAUGUGUAAGUAACUGUGCACGUCUUGACGGUACCUAAUCAGAAAGCCACGGCUAACUACGUG
This 497-nucleotide ribosomal RNA is filed under the name uncultured bacterium. Its description in RNAcentral is "partial 16S ribosomal RNA". It matches the Rfam family "Bacterial small subunit ribosomal RNA", at positions 28 to 507 of the family's 1533-position model. The record is from RNAcentral.